AGAACGAACGCUGGCGGCAGGCUUAACACAUGCAAGUCGAGCGCCCCGCAAGGGAGCGGNCAGACGGGUGAGUAACGCGUGGGAAUCUACCCAUCUCUACGGAAUAACGCAUGGAAACGUGUGCUAAUACCGUAUACGUCCUUCGGGAGAAAGAUUUAUCGGAGAUGGAUGAGCCCGCGUUGGAUUAGCUAGUUGGUGGGGUAAAGGCCUACCAAGGCGACGAUCCAUAGCUGGUCUGAGAGGAUGAUCAGCCGCACUGGGACUGAGACACGGCCCAGACUCCUACGGGAGGCAGCAGUGGGGAAUAUUGGACAAUGGGCGCAAGCCUGUAUCCAGCCAUGCCGCGUGUGUGAUGAAGGCCCUAGGGCUGUAAAGCACUUUCACCGGAGAAGAUAAUGACGGUAUCCGGAGAAGAAGCCCCGGCUAACUUCGUGCCAGCAGCCGCGGUAUACGAAGGGGGCUAGCGUUGUUCGGAUUUACUGGGCGUAAAGCGCACGUAGGCGGACUAUUAAGUCAGGGGUGAAAUCCCGGGGCUCAACCCCGGAACUGCCUUUGAUACUGGUGGUCUUGAGUUCGAGAGAGGUGAGUGGAAUUCCGAGUGUAGAGGUGAAAUUCGUAGAUAUUCGGAGGAACACCAGUGGCGAAGGCGGCUCACUGGCUCGAUACUGACGCUAAGGUGCGAAAGCGUGGGGAGCAAACAGGAU
Molecule: ribosomal RNA, 704 nt
Filed under: uncultured Phyllobacterium sp.
Lineage: Bacteria; Pseudomonadati; Pseudomonadota; Alphaproteobacteria; Hyphomicrobiales; Phyllobacteriaceae
Description: bacterial SSU rRNA
Rfam family: Bacterial small subunit ribosomal RNA
Source: RNAcentral